Molecule: ribosomal RNA, 656 nt
Filed under: Trichoderma viride
Lineage: Eukaryota; Fungi; Ascomycota; Sordariomycetes; Hypocreales; Hypocreaceae
Description: SSU rRNA
Rfam family: Eukaryotic small subunit ribosomal RNA
Source: RNAcentral
CACUGCGGAAUGGGUCAUUAUAUAAGUUAUCGUUUAUUUGAUAAUACUUUACUACUUGGAUAACCGUGGUAAUUCUAGAGCUAAUACAUGCUAAAAAUCCCGACUUCGGAAGGGUUGUAUUUAUUAGAUUAAAAACCAAUGCCCCUCGGGGCUCUCUGGUGAAUCAUAAUAACUAGUCGAAUCGACAGGCCUUGUGCCGGCGAUGGCUCAUUCAAAUUUCUUCCCUAUCAACUUUCGAUGUUUGGGUCUUGUCCAAACAUGGUGGCAACGGGUAACGGAGGGUUAGGGCUCGACCCCGGAGAAGGAGCCUGAGAAACGGCUACUACAUCCAAGGAAGGCAGCAGGCGCGCAAAUUACCCAAUCCCGACACGGGGAGGUAGUGACAAUAAAUACUGAUACAGGGCUCUUUUGGGUCUUGUAAUCGGAAUGAGUACAAUUUAAAUCCCUUAACGAGGAACAAUUGGAGGGCAAGUCUGGUGCCAGCAGCCGCGGUAAUUCCAGCUCCAAUAGCGUAUAUUAAAGUUGUUGUGGUUAAAAAGCUCGUAGUUGAACCUUGGGCCUGGCUGGCCGGUCCGCCUCACCGCGUGCACUGGUCCGGCCGGGCCUUUCCCUCUGCGGAACCCCAUGCCCUUCACUGGGUGUGGCGGGGAAACAGG